AAAUUGAAGAGUUUGAUCAUGGCUCAGAUUGAACGCUGGCGGCAGGCCUAACACAUGCAAGUCGAACGGUAACAGGAAGCAGCUUGCUGCUUCGCUGACGAGUGGCGGACGGGUGAGUAAUGUCUGGGAAACUGCCUGAUGGAGGGGGAUAACUACUGGAAACGGUAGCUAAUACCGCAUAACGUCGCAAGACCAAAGAGGGGGACCUUCGGGCCUCUUGCCAUCGGAUGUGCCCAGAUGGGAUUAGCUUGUUGGUGGGGUAACGGCUCACCAAGGCGACGAUCCCUAGCUGGUCUGAG
Molecule: ribosomal RNA, 299 nt
Filed under: Escherichia coli
Lineage: Bacteria; Pseudomonadati; Pseudomonadota; Gammaproteobacteria; Enterobacterales; Enterobacteriaceae
Also listed under: 1 other name
Description: partial 16S ribosomal RNA
Rfam family: Bacterial small subunit ribosomal RNA
Source: RNAcentral